UACAGAGGGGGCAAGCGUUAUUCGGAAUUAUUGGGCGUAAAGGGCGCGUAGGCGGCAUCGCAAGUGGAAGGUGAAAUCCCUCGGCUUAACCGAGGAACUGCCUUCCAAACUGUUUGGCUUGAGUCCGGGAGAGGCGAGUGGAAUUCCCAGUGUAGCGGUGAAAUGCGUAGAUAUUGGGAGGAACACCAGUGGCGAAGGCGGCUCGCUGGACCGGAACUGACGCUGAGGCGCGAAAGCGUGGGGAGCGAACAGG
RNAcentral lists this ribosomal RNA (253 nucleotides) under uncultured bacterium. RNAcentral's name for it is "partial 16S ribosomal RNA". It matches the Rfam family "Bacterial small subunit ribosomal RNA", at positions 524 to 776 of the family's 1533-position model. The record is from RNAcentral.